GACGAACGCUGGCGGCGUGCUUAACACAUGCAAGUCGAGCGGUAAGGCCCUUUCGGGGUACGACGAGCGGCGAACGGGUGAGUAACACGUGGGUGACCUGCCCUCCAGCUCUGGGAGUAAAGCCUCGGGAAACCGGGGUACUAAUACUGGAUAUGACUCCAUGACGCAUGUUGUGGGGUGGAAAGCCUUGUGCGGCUGAGGAUGGGCCCGCGGCCUAUCAGCUUGUUGGUGGGGUGAUGGCCUACCAAGGCGACGACGGGUAGCCGGCCUGAGAGGG
This 277-nucleotide ribosomal RNA is filed under the name uncultured bacterium. RNAcentral describes it as "partial 16S ribosomal RNA". It matches the Rfam family "Bacterial small subunit ribosomal RNA", at positions 28 to 300 of the family's 1533-position model. The record is from RNAcentral.